Molecule: transfer RNA, 1065 nt
Filed under: Rhizobium fabae
Lineage: Bacteria; Pseudomonadati; Pseudomonadota; Alphaproteobacteria; Hyphomicrobiales; Rhizobiaceae
Description: partial contains 16S ribosomal RNA, 16S-23S ribosomal RNA intergenic spacer, and 23S ribosomal RNA
Rfam family: tRNA (bases 204-277)
Source: RNAcentral
GUAGACGAUCGGCCUGAUCUUCGGAUCUCCCCGAUAUGAACCUUCCCGUGCUUUUUAGAACAUAGAUGGCACCAGUCAGGUGACCAUCGAAACGCAAUACGCCACGGAAAUGCUUCGGCAUUCGGAUGGUAUGGCGAGCUUUCGCCGUCCACGUUUCUCUUUCUUCAAGAAGACAAAAAACCGCGUCGACCGGUUCCCCGAAUGGGCCCGUAGCUCAGUUGGUUAGAGCACACGCUUGAUAAGCGUGGGGUCGGAAGUUCAAGUCUUCCCGGGCCCACCAUUUGCAUAUGCGAAUGAGGGUUGAGGGAUGAUGGAAUGUCAGGCGAAGCGGAAGUUGCCGAACCUGGGCUUGUCCCGGGCGAUCGAGCUGAUGGGGCUGUAGCUCAGCUGGGAGAGCACCUGCUUUGCAAGCAGGGGGUCAGCGGUUCGAUCCCGCUCAGCUCCACCAAAUCGAUUGGUGUUGAGACUGAAUGGUUGAGAUCGGCAUUUGUCUUUUGAAGAAAUAAAAGUUUGCAUCGGUUUUGACCGAUGCCUGUUCUGUAUACAUUGUGAAGAGAAGAUUGAUCUGGAGGCUUCCAGGUGUUGUGGGUUUUUGCCCAUGAUGUCCGAGCCCAGUUCUUGUGAAACCAUGGAUGGCCUAGCCGGCCGGAUAUGGUGGAGGGACUGGAGGUAGGAAGGAAGCUUGUCGCUCUGGAUCGUCAGCGUAAACCGCGUAGCGGUUUAUCGCGUGUUGUUCGUUGUCCGCAAGGACUUCGUCUGACGGACGAUCGGAUUACCGUUGCCUGACCGCGCGGUAUCGGAUCCAAUCUCGAGAAGCUGGUCUUAAGACAGGCUGCAAGUGAGCUGCUCGGCGUAGCUCCAAUAAAGCAGACCUGUCGAACACGUCGAUGGCAUUGUUGGAUUGACUGGGUUGUAAAAGGUAACCCGGUCUGUUGCCGUUUCUUUGAAACGGGCAACGAGAUGAUGAGCAUUGGCAAUGAGAACGAUUAAGUGUCGUAAGGGCAUUUGGUGGAUGCCUUGGCAUGCACAGGCGAUGAAGGACGUGAUACGCUGCGAAAAGCCGUG